Molecule: ribosomal RNA, 854 nt
Filed under: Elaeis guineensis (African oil palm)
Lineage: Eukaryota; Viridiplantae; Streptophyta; Magnoliopsida; Arecales; Arecaceae
Description: eukaryotic LSU rRNA
Rfam family: 5.8S ribosomal RNA (bases 372-527)
Source: RNAcentral
UCAUUUAGAGGAAGGAGAAGUCGUAACAAAGUUUUCAUAGGUGAACCUGCGGAAGGAUCAUUGCCGAGACUCGGAUGAGGAAGACCUGCAAACUUGUGAACGUGCUGCGCCAUAGCGGGAAGGCUCGCUCAACCCACUGCGUCACCCUCACCCAACUCCACCCACUGCAUUCGCCUCGAGGCUCGAACACCCGCCCGAUCGGGCGCAGCGGGGACGUGCGGUGCGGGGGGUGGCGGGCGGACCAAACCUGACGCAAAGGGCGCCAAGGAUCUGUGGAGCACUGAAGCGGGGGUGCCUCGACGCUCACCCAUCCCCAAUCGGGUGCUAGGAGGGUGGGGGGCACCCCCACGGAUGGCAGCCUUACACCGCACGACUCUCGGCAACGAAUAUCUCGGCUCUCGCAUCGAUGAAGAACGUAGCGAAAUAUGAUACCUGGUGUGAAUUGCAGAAUCCCGUGAACCACUGAGUCUUUGAACGCAAGUUGCGCCCAAGGCCACCCGAUCGAGGGCACGCCUACCUGGGCAUCACGCCAAGCGAUGCUCUGAUGCCCUGGGGACCGCAAUAGGCUUCCCAGGGAAGCCGGAUGCGCUCAAUGGCUCCUCGUGCCCCUCCCGGUGUGGUGGGCCGAAGAGCGGGCCACUGGCAGGGCCGGACAUGGCGGAUGGUGGACGCUCAUGCGAUCCUGUCGCUGUGCCGUCGGACCCCAAAGAUGGAGGCGGGCCCUCCUAUCCCUGCACCCCCCACCAAAGCUCAUGCCACUCCCAGGCCCCAGGCCGGGGGUGGCACGCCUCGGAUCGUGACCCUAGGUUAGGCGGGAACACCCGUCGAGCUUAAGCAUAUCAAUAAGCGGAGGA